Molecule: ribosomal RNA, 408 nt
Filed under: uncultured Microsporidia
Lineage: Eukaryota; Fungi; Microsporidia
Description: SSU rRNA
Rfam family: Microsporidia small subunit ribosomal RNA
Source: RNAcentral
CACCAGGUUGAUUCUGCCUGACGUAGAUGCUAGUCUCUAAGAUUAAGCCAUGCAUGUUCAGUGAACCUUUAGGGAAACGACAGACAGCUCAGUAAUACUGCGAUAAUUUAGUCUAUGUAAUUUAAAUAACUACGGGAAACAGUAGCUAAUAAUAAUAGAAUAAGACGCAGUGCUAUCAGUUAGUUGGUAGUGUAAUGGACUACCAAGACUAUGACGGCUAACGGGAAAUUAGGGUUUUAUUCCGGAGAGGGAGCCUGAGAAAUUGCUCCCACGUCCAAGGACGGCAGCAGGCGCGAAAAUUGCCCACUCUUUUAUGAGGAGGCGGUUAUGAGACGUGAUAUAAAGAACCUAGUAUAAAUGCAUAGGUGUAAUGCGAUUGGAGGGCAAGAUUGGUGCCAGCAGCCGCGG